RNAcentral lists this transfer RNA (72 nucleotides) under Gadus morhua (Atlantic cod). RNAcentral's name for it is "tRNA-Asp (GTC) (tRNA-Asp-GTC-5-1)". It matches the Rfam family "tRNA". Rfam says of the family: Transfer RNA (tRNA) molecules are approximately 80 nucleotides in length. Their secondary structure includes four short double-helical elements and three loops (D, anti-codon, and T loops). Lineage: Eukaryota; Metazoa; Chordata; Actinopteri; Gadiformes; Gadidae. The record is from RNAcentral.
UCCUCGUUAGUAUGGUGGUCAGUAUCCCCGCCUGUCACGCGGGAGACCGGGGUUCAAUUCCCCGACGGGGAG